This 600-nucleotide ribosomal RNA is filed under the name Alloionema appendiculatum. RNAcentral's name for it is "SSU rRNA". It matches the Rfam family "Eukaryotic small subunit ribosomal RNA", at positions 96 to 768 of the family's 1831-position model. Lineage: Eukaryota; Metazoa; Nematoda; Chromadorea; Rhabditida; Alloionematidae. The record is from RNAcentral.
GCUCAUUAUAACAGCUAUAAUCUACACGGCAAUUAUUCUUAAUUGGAUAACUGAGGUAAUUCUUGAGCUAAUACACGCUUUAAUGCCACAUUCGUGGUGCGUUUAUUUGACUAGACAUCAUAUUGGUUGACUCAAAAUAUCCUUGCUAAUUUUUUUUUUAAAAAUAUGCCGUAUGAGUAUCUGCUUUAUCAACUUUCGAUGGUAGGGUAUUGGCCUACCAUGGUGUUGACGGAUAACGGAGAAUUAGGGUUCGACUCCGGAGAGGGAGCCUGAGAAACGGCUACCACAUCCAAGGAAGGCAGCAGGCGCGAAAAUUACCCAAUCUUAGUUAAAGGAGGUAGUGACGAAAAAUGACAAAGCAACACUUUUUAAGUGUUGUUAUUGGAAAUCUUGCAACCUAAAUAGUUGCUUGGUAAAGGAGAGGGCCAGUCUGGUGCCAGCAGCCGCGGUAAUACCAGCUCUCCAAGUGCAUAAAAUGAUUGUUGUGGUUAAAAAGCUCGUAGUUGGAUUUAUUGAAUAAGUUCAGAGUCAUGUAUAUGGCUUCUGAAAUGUUCAUACUUUUGCAAUUAGCAAUAAUUGCCUGUUACUUUGAAUAAAUCA